Molecule: ribosomal RNA, 645 nt
Filed under: Bacillus sp. 9M3
Lineage: Bacteria; Bacillati; Bacillota; Bacilli; Caryophanales; Bacillaceae
Description: bacterial SSU rRNA
Rfam family: Bacterial small subunit ribosomal RNA
Source: RNAcentral
AUGGUUAGCGGCGGACGGGUGAGUAACACGUAGGCAACCUGCCCUCAAGUUUGGGACAACUACCGGAAACGGUAGCUAAUACCGAAUAGUUGUUUUCUUCGCCUGAAGGAAACUGGAAAGACGGAGCAAUCUGUCACUUGGGGAUGGGCCUGCGGCGCAUUAGCUAGUUGGUGGGGUAACGGCUCACCAAGGCGACGAUGCGUAGCCGACCUGAGAGGGUGAUCGGCCACACUGGGACUGAGACACGGCCCAGACUCCUACGGGAGGCAGCAGUAGGGAAUCUUCCGCAAUGGGCGAAAGCCUGACGGAGCAAUGCCGCGUGAGUGAUGAAGGUUUUCGGAUCGUAAAGCUCUGUUGCCAGGGAAGAACGCUUGGGAGAGUAACUGCUCUCAAGGUGACGGUACCUGAGAAGAAAGCCCCGGCUAACUACGUGCCAGCAGCCGCGGUAAUACGUAGGGGGCAAGCGUUGUCCGGAAUUAUUGGGCGUAAAGCGCGCGCAGGCGGUCAUUUAAGUCUGGUGUUUAAUCCCGGGGCUCAACCCCGGAUCGCACUGGAAACUGGGUGACUUGAGUGCAGAAGAGAGAGUGGAAUUCCACGUGUAGCGGUGAAUGCGUAGAUAUGUGGAGGACACCAGUGGCGAAGCGA